UCUCUCUCUCUCUCUCUCUCUCUCUCUCUCUCUCUCUCUCUCUCUCUCUCUCUUUCUCUCUCUCUCUUUCUCUCUCUCUCUCAUUGUGGUGAGUAGCAGUAGCAGCAGCACUAGUUGUCUCAUGGAACUCAGUCAGGCAAAUUCUCCGGCUGUUUUCUCUCUGCUCAGAGGUAGUGGAAAAUUUAUUGCUCCUUUCUUCUCUUCUCCUCCUCUCUUCUCCUCUCUCCUCCUCUCUCUUCUCGUCCCCCUCUCACCCCUUGAGCUGGGGGUCAGCGGGGCUCUCUGUGUGUGAGGGAGGGGGGUUUAGGAUGGAAGCGAUGGCUCUCUAUUCGUUCCGAGCCACGGAGGGUGAUGAGCUCAGUUUCAACAAGGGAGACGUACUUAAGGUCAUCAACAUGGAAGAUGAUCCUAACUGGUACACAGCGGAGCUCAACAACAAGAAAGGAUACGUACCCAAAAACUAUAUCAAUCUGAGACCACACGCGUGGUUCGCAGGCCGUGUAUCCAGGGGGGUUGCAGAGGGCAGAUUGAGACAGAGAGACCGCGGAGCGUUCAUCGUGAGAGAGAGCGAGAGCGCUCCAGGAGAAUUCUCCAUGUCCGUCA
Molecule: long non-coding RNA, 603 nt
Organism: Oncorhynchus nerka (sockeye salmon)
Lineage: Eukaryota; Metazoa; Chordata; Actinopteri; Salmoniformes; Salmonidae
Exons: 3
Source: RefSeq, a predicted model, not a curated record